Molecule: ribosomal RNA, 465 nt
Filed under: Vreelandella stevensii
Lineage: Bacteria; Pseudomonadati; Pseudomonadota; Gammaproteobacteria; Oceanospirillales; Halomonadaceae
Description: partial 16S ribosomal RNA
Rfam family: Bacterial small subunit ribosomal RNA
Source: RNAcentral
CCUACGGGGGGCAGCAGUGGGGAAUAUUGGACAAUGGGCGAAAGCCUGAUCCAGCCAUGCCGCGUGUGUGAAGAAGGCCUUCGGGUUGUAAAGCACUUUCAGUGGGGAAGAAAGCCUUGGGGCUAAUACCCUCGAGGAAGGACAUCACCCACAGAAGAAGCACCGGCUAACUCCGUGCCAGCAGCCGCGGUAAUACGGAGGGUGCGAGCGUUAAUCGGAAUUACUGGGCGUAAAGCGCGCGUAGGCGGUCUGAUAAGCCGGUUGUGAAAGCCCCGGGCUCAACCUGGGAACGGCAUCCGGAACUGUCAGGCUAGAGUGUAGGAGAGGAAGGUAGAAUUCCCGGUGUAGCGGUGAAAUGCGUAGAGAUCGGGAGGAAUACCAGUGGCGAAGGCGGCCUUCUGGACUGACACUGACGCUGAGGUGCGAAAGCGUGGGUAGCAAACAGGAUUAGAUACCCUAGUAGUC